CACGCAGGCGGUCUCUUAAGUCUUCUGUGAAAGCCCGGGGCUCAACUCCGGAACUGCAGAGGAUACUGGGAGACUAGAGACAGGUAGAGGCUAGCGGAAUUCCUGGUGUAGCGGUGGAAUGCGUAGAUAUCAGGAAGAACACCUGUGGCGAAGGCGGCUAGCUGGGCCUGUUCUGACGCUCAUGUGCGAAAGCGUGGGGAGCAAACA
This 207-nucleotide ribosomal RNA is filed under the name uncultured bacterium. Its description in RNAcentral is "partial 16S ribosomal RNA". It matches the Rfam family "Bacterial small subunit ribosomal RNA", at positions 568 to 774 of the family's 1533-position model. The record is from RNAcentral.